AGUGAACGCUGGCGGUAGGCCUAACACAUGCAAGUCGAACGGCAGCACAGUAAGAGCUUGCUCUUACGGGUGGCGAGUGGCGGACGGGUGAGGAAUACAUCGGAAUCUACUUUUUCGUGGGGGAUAACGUAGGGAAACUUACGCUAAUACCGCAUACGACCUACGGGUGAAAGCAGGGGAUCUUCGGACCUUGCGCGAUUGAAUGAGCCGAUGUCGGAUUAGCUAGUUGGCGGGGUAAAGGCCCACCAAGGCGACGAUCCGUAGCUGGUCUGAGAGGAUGAUCAGCCACACUGGAACUGAGACACGGUCCAGACUCCUAGGGGAGACAGCAGUGGGGAAUAUUGGACAAUGGGCGCAAGCCUGAUCCAGCCAUACCGCGUGGGUGAAGAAGGCCUUCGGGUUGUAAAGCCCUUUUGUUGGGAAAGAAAAGCAGCAGGUUAAUACCCCGCUGUUCUGACGGUACCCAAAGAAUAAGCACCGGCUAACUUCGUG
Molecule: ribosomal RNA, 492 nt
Filed under: uncultured bacterium
Lineage: Bacteria
Description: partial 16S ribosomal RNA
Rfam family: Bacterial small subunit ribosomal RNA
Source: RNAcentral